RNAcentral lists this ribosomal RNA (605 nucleotides) under uncultured bacterium. RNAcentral's name for it is "bacterial SSU rRNA". It matches the Rfam family "Bacterial small subunit ribosomal RNA", at positions 397 to 1016 of the family's 1533-position model. The record is from RNAcentral.
CCGCGUGAGGGAUGAAGGCCUCUGGGCUGUAAACCUCUUUUCUCAAGGAAGAAGAACUGACGGUACUUGAGGAAUAAGCCACGGCUAAUUCCGUGCCAGCAGCCGCGGUAAUACGGGAGUGGCAAGCGUUAUCCGGAAUUAUUGGGCGUAAAGCGUCCGCAGGCGGCCUCGUAAGUCUGUCGUUAAAGCGUGGAGCUUAACUCCAUUUGAGCGAUGGAAACUGUGAGGCUUGAGUGUGGUAGGGGCAGAGGGAAUUCCCGGUGUAGCGGUGAAAUGCGUAGAUAUCGGGAAGAACACCAGUGGCGAAGGCGCUCUGCUGGGCCAUAACUGACGCUCAUGGACGAAAGCCAGGGGAGCGAAAGGGAUUAGAUACCCCUGUAGUCCUGGCCGUAAACGAUGAACACUAGGUGUCGGGGGAAUCGACCCCCUCGGUGUCGUAGCCAACGCGUUAAGUGUUCCGCCUGGGGAGUACGCACGCAAGUGUGAAACUCAAAGGAAUUGACGGGGGCCCGCACAAGCGGUGGAGUAUGUGGUUUAAUUCGAUGCCACGCGAAGAACCUUACCAGGGUUUGACAUCCUGCGAAUCUCUGAGAAAUCGGAGAGUG